RNAcentral lists this microRNA (22 nucleotides) under Caenorhabditis elegans. RNAcentral describes it as "cel-miR-1018". Lineage: Eukaryota; Metazoa; Nematoda; Chromadorea; Rhabditida; Rhabditidae. The record is from miRBase by way of RNAcentral.
AGAGAGAUCAUUGGACUUACAG